This 72-nucleotide transfer RNA is filed under the name Bos taurus (domestic cattle). It matches the Rfam family "tRNA". From Rfam's summary of the family: Transfer RNA (tRNA) molecules are approximately 80 nucleotides in length. Their secondary structure includes four short double-helical elements and three loops (D, anti-codon, and T loops). RNAcentral also lists the same sequence under 5 other names. The record is from Rfam by way of RNAcentral. Lineage: Eukaryota; Metazoa; Chordata; Mammalia; Artiodactyla; Bovidae.
UUCCCACUGGCUCAGUUGUUAAAGAAUCCACCUGCAGUGUGGGAGAUCCAGGUUCGAUCCCUGGGUUGGGAA